This is a long non-coding RNA of Cyprinus carpio carpio, 302 nucleotides long. NCBI's taxonomy places the organism in Eukaryota, Metazoa, Chordata, Actinopteri, Cypriniformes, Cyprinidae. The record is from Ensembl.
UAAAAAUAACCGACUUCCUGUUGGGUUUCGGAUUUUGCUCCAAGAGUCUUUUUUGUAGGUAUUGGGGAGUUACAUGUGUGUACCGAUUUUCAUACAUGUACGUGAAACGUAGCUCGAGGCGCACACCGUUGAACGUGUAUAGGUGGCGCUGUCGAGCCAUUUUGCCACACCCACUUCUGAAACCCAUAUCAGACGUAAAUUUUCGCCAGUUCUGAGGUGUGUGCAAAGUUUCAUGACUUUUCGAGCAUGUUUAGGCCCUCAAAAAUGCGAUUCAUUUUGGAGAAGAAGAAUAAUAAUAAUAA